This 442-nucleotide ribosomal RNA is filed under the name uncultured bacterium. RNAcentral's name for it is "partial 16S ribosomal RNA". It matches the Rfam family "Bacterial small subunit ribosomal RNA", at positions 338 to 795 of the family's 1533-position model. The record is from RNAcentral.
CCUACGGGAGGCAGCAGUGGGGAAUAUUGGGCAAUGGGCGAAAGCCUGACCCAGCAACGCCGCGUGAAGGAAGAAGGCUUUCGGGUUGUAAACCUCCUUUGACAGGGAAGAGCAGAAGACGGUACCUGUCGAAUAAGCCACGGCUAACUACGAGCCAGCAGCCGAGGUCAUACGUAGGUGGCAAGGGUUGUCCGGAUUCACUGGGUGAAAAGGGCGGGUAGCCGGGCUGACAAGUCAGAUGUGAAAUCCGGGGGGUCAACCCCCGAACUGCAGUUGAAACUGUUGGGCUUGAGUAUCGGAGAGGCAGGCGGAAUUCGGGGUGUAGCGGUGAAAUGCGUAGAUAUUAGGAGGAACCCCGGUUGCGAAGGCGGCCUGCUGGACGACAACUGACGGUGAGGCGCGAAAGCGUGGGGAGCAAACAGGAUUAGAUACCCCAGUAGUC